UUGCAGCAUAUCAAUAAGCGGAGGAAAAGAAACCAACAGGGAUUGCCCUAGUAACGGCGAGUGAACAGGCAAGAGCUCAGAUUUGAAAGGCACUUUUGUGCCGUUGUAUUCUGAAGUUAGGGUCCUGAGAAACGAUGCUUAAGUCUUCUGGAAAGGAGCGCCAUGGAGGGUGAUAGCCCCGUCUAGCAUUGACCUCAUAUAGGAUCUUAACAUGGAGUCGAGUUGUUUGGGAAUGCAGCUCAAAUGGGUGGUAUGCUCCAUCUAAAGCUAAAUAUCUGCGAGAGACCGAUAGUAAACAAGUACUGUGAGGGAAAGAUGAAAAGAACUUUGAAAAGAGAGUGAAAAAGUACGUGAAAUUGUUGAAAUGGAAGGGUAGGCCGCUAACCAUGUAGAGCCGUGUUUGGGGGGAAGAUAAAUGCUGUAGAAUGUAGCUCCUCGGAGUAUUAUAGAUGCAGUUCAUAUUCCCACCCCAGCGCGAGGUCUCAUGUCUACUAAAUGCGACUUU
This 505-nucleotide ribosomal RNA is filed under the name Starmerella bacillaris. Its description in RNAcentral is "eukaryotic LSU rRNA". It matches the Rfam family "Eukaryotic large subunit ribosomal RNA", at positions 34 to 493 of the family's 3401-position model. The record is from RNAcentral. Lineage: Eukaryota; Fungi; Ascomycota; Dipodascomycetes; Dipodascales; Trichomonascaceae.